Molecule: ribosomal RNA, 1346 nt
Filed under: uncultured bacterium
Lineage: Bacteria
Description: partial 16S ribosomal RNA
Rfam family: Bacterial small subunit ribosomal RNA
Source: RNAcentral
GACGAACGCUGGCGGCGUGCUUAACACAUGCAAGUCGAACGGAAAGGCCCUGCUUUUGUGGGGUGCUCGAGUGGCGAACGGGUGAGUAACACGUGAGUAACCUGCCCUUGACUUUGGGAUAACUUCAGGAAACUGGGGCUAAUACCGGAUAGGAGCUCCUGCUGCAUGGUGGGGGUUGGAAAGUUUCGGCGGUUGGGGAUGGACUCGCGGCUUAUUAGCUUGUUGGUGGGGUAGUGGCUUACCAAGGCUUUGACGGGUAGCCGGCCUGAGAGGGUGACCGGCCACAUUGGGACUGAGAUACGGCCCAGACUCCUACGGGAGGCAGCAGUGGGGAAUAUUGCACAAUGGGCGGAGGCCUGAUGCAGCAACGCCGCGUGCGGGAUGACGGCCUUCGGGUUGUAAACCGCUUUCGCCUGUGACGAAGCGUGAGUGACGGUAAUGGGUAAAGAAGCACCGGCUAACUACGUGCCAGCAGCCGCGGUGAUACGUAGGGUGCGAGCGUUGUCCGGAUUUAUUGGGCGUAAAGGGCUCGUAGGUGGUUGAUCGCGUCGGAAGUGUAAUCUUGGGGCUUAACCCUGAGCGUGCUUUCGAUACGGGUUGACUUGAGGAAGGUAGGGGAGAAUGGAAUUCCUGGUGGAGCGGUGGAAUGCGCAGAUAUCAGGAGGAACACCAGUGGCGAAGGCGGUUCUCUGGGCCUUUCCUGACGCUGAGGAGCGAAAGCGUGGGGAGCGAACAGGCUUAGAUACCCUGGUAGUCCACGCUGUAAACGGUGGGUACUAGGUGUGGGGUCCAUUCCACGGGUUCCGUGCCGUAGCUAACGCUUUAAGUACCCCGCCUGGGGAGUACGGCCGCAAGGCUAAAACUCAAAGGAAUUGACGGGGCCCCGCACAAGCGGCGGAGCAUGCGGAUUAAUUCGAUGCAACGCGUAGAACCUUACCUGGGUUUGACAUGGAUCGGGAGUGCUCAGAGAUGGGUGUGCCUCUUUUGGGGUCGGUUCACAGGUGGUGCAUGGCUGUCGUCAGCUCGUGUCGUGAGAUGUUGGGUUAAGUCCCGCAACGAGCGCAACCCUUGUUCACUGUUGCCAGCACGUUAUGGUGGGGACUCAGUGGAGACCGCCGGGGUCAACUCGGAGGAAGGUGGGGAUGACGUCAAGUCAUCAUGCCCCUUAUGUCCAGGGCUUCACGCAUGCUACAAUGGCUGGUACAGAGAGUGGCGAGCCUGUGAGGGUGAGCGAAUCUCGGAAAGCCGGUCUCAGUUCGGAUUGGGGUCUGCAACUCGACCUCAUGAAGUCGGAGUCGCUAGUAAUCGCAGAACAGCAACGCUGCGGUGAACACGUUCCCGGGGCU